Molecule: ribosomal RNA, 461 nt
Filed under: uncultured bacterium
Lineage: Bacteria
Description: partial 16S ribosomal RNA
Rfam family: Bacterial small subunit ribosomal RNA
Source: RNAcentral
GACGAACGCUGGCGGCGUGCUUAACACAUGCAAGUCGAGCGGUAAGGCCUUUCGGGUACACGAGCGGCGAACGGGUGAGUUACACGGGGGUGAAUUGCCCUGCACUUUGGGAUAAGCCUGGGAAACUGGGUCUAAUACCGGAUAUGACCUCCUAUCGCAUGGUGGGUGGUGGAAAGAUUUUUCGGUGCAGGAUGGGCCCGCGGCCUAUCAGCUUGUUGGUGGGGUAAUGGCCUACCAAGGCGACGACGGGUAGCCGACCUGAGAGGGUGACCGGCCACACUGGGACUGAGACACGGCCCAGACUCCUACGGGAGGCAGCAGUGGGGAAUAUUGCACAAUGGGCGAAAGCCUGAUGCAGCGACGCCGCGUGAGGGAUGACGGCCUUCGGGUUGUAAACCUCUUUCAGCAGGGACGAAGCGCAAGUGACGGUACCUGCAGAAGAAGCGCCGGCUAACUACGUG